GGAUCCGGCCGCCACCGCCCUCCCCCGCGCCGCGCAGGCGCGUGCGCCGCUCUAUCCGCCGGCCUGGAGCACGGCCGGAGGGAGCACGGAGCAGGGGAGAGCCAGGCCGAGCACGGCACACGCCGCCGCCUCCGUCGGCACCCGGGCCUCCGCCAGGACCAUCAAGCCGACCCACGCCGACGCCGGGGUUCAGGAGACCGGGCCGAGCCGCUGUCUCAUCAUCCAGCAGCACGCGGGUGGCUUGUCCCCGUCCCCGCGCUCCUCGUCGCUACCGGCGGAGACAAAGAAGAACACCAAUCGAGCCCUCCGAAGCAACGCACCGGCAACGAAGAAGAAGAAGAAUCGAAUCAGCAGGUUAUGAUACCUGUAACCCAGAUUUACUCGGUAUGGAGGAUGCGUUAGCUACAGCUAAACCUUAGUCAUCUGAUCACCAACCUCUUCUGCCGAAUGAAGGAGCUCGGGCUGUUACCAAUAAAGUAGACAGUGAAGUUCACCCGAACGAUAUUUGGAAUUGAUUAUUUCGAUGUUCCUAAAUUUUCUUAACUCCUUAUUUAUGUUAGCCUUAAUGCUAAACAA
Panicum virgatum (switchgrass) is the source of this 576-nucleotide long non-coding RNA. RefSeq lists it as uncharacterized. NCBI's taxonomy places the organism in Eukaryota, Viridiplantae, Streptophyta, Magnoliopsida, Poales, Poaceae. The transcript is spliced from 2 exons. The record is from RefSeq and is a predicted model, not a curated record.